UAACACGUAGGGUGCAAGCGUUGUCCGGAAUUAUUGGGCGUAAAGGGCUCGUAGGCGGUCCGUCACGUCGGGAGUGAAAACUCGGGGCUCAACCCCGAGCCUGCUUUCGAUACGGGCGGACUAGAGGUAGGUAGGGGAGAACGGAAUUCCUGGUGUAGCGGUGGAAUGCGCAGAUAUCAGGAGGAACACCGGUGGCGAAGGCGGUUCUCUGGGCCUUACCUGACGCUGAGGAGCGAAAGCGUGGGGAGCGAACAGGAUUAGAUACCCUGGUAGUCCACGCCGUAAACGUUGGGCGCUAGGUGUGGGAUCCAUUCCACGGGUUCCGUGCCGCAGCUAACGCAUUAAGCGCCCCGCCUGGGGAGUACGGCCGCAAGGCUA
RNAcentral lists this ribosomal RNA (378 nucleotides) under uncultured bacterium. RNAcentral's name for it is "bacterial SSU rRNA". It matches the Rfam family "Bacterial small subunit ribosomal RNA", at positions 521 to 896 of the family's 1533-position model. The record is from RNAcentral.